Molecule: non-coding RNA, 129 nt
Organism: Salvelinus sp. IW2-2015
Lineage: Eukaryota; Metazoa; Chordata; Actinopteri; Salmoniformes; Salmonidae
Source: RefSeq, a predicted model, not a curated record
GUAGACAGAGACAGGACUAUACGUACCAACAUGUAGACAGAGACAGGACUAUACAUACCAACAUGUAGACAGAGACAGGACUAUACAUACCAACAUGUAGACAGAGACAGGACUAUACAUACCAACAUG